AUUGAACGCUGGCGGCAGGCCUAACACAUGCAAGUCGAGCGGAUGAAGGGAGCUUGCUCCUGGAUUCAGCUGCGGACGGGUGAGUAAUGCCUAGGAAUCUGCCUGGUAUAGGGGGAUAACGUCCGGUAACGGGCGCUAAUACCGCAUACGUCCUGAGGGAGAAAGUCGUGGAUCUUCGGACCUCGCGCUAUCAGCUGAGCCUAGGUCGGAUUAGCUAGUUGGUGGGGUAAAGGCCUACCAAGGCGACGAUCCGUAACUGGUCUGAGAGGAUGAUCAGCCACACUGGAACUGAGACACGGUCCAGACUCCUACGGGAGGCAGCAGUGGGGAAUAUUGGGCAAUGGGCGAAAGCCUGACGCAGCAAUGCCGCGUGAGUGAAGAAGGUCUUCGGAUUGUAAAACACUUUUAGUUGGGAGGAAGGGAAGUAAGUUUAUCUAUUCAUGUUUUGACGUUACCAACAGAAUAAGCACCGGCUAACUUCGUG
This 484-nucleotide ribosomal RNA is filed under the name uncultured bacterium. RNAcentral describes it as "partial 16S ribosomal RNA". It matches the Rfam family "Bacterial small subunit ribosomal RNA", at positions 30 to 507 of the family's 1533-position model. The record is from RNAcentral.